ACUUCAACAGUUCUAGCCCCUAAAACUUGACCAACCUCCAACUGAUCAGACCCUCCUUCAGAUCUAAGUCUGAACCUCUCAGAAUUUUUUUCUGAUCUUGACCUCCUUUUUUAGGACCCCUUAAAUCCUUUGUCCUAAUAGGAAUAGGCUUGUCUUAAAAGAACAGACCUUGUCCUAAAGGAACUAGAAUUGUAAGAGAGGGAGAGAGAAAGUGGAUAGGAUUUUGUAGGAAUUGAAUG
This 239-nucleotide long non-coding RNA is filed under the name Elaeis guineensis (African oil palm). Its description in RNAcentral is "long non-coding RNA (EGUI_LNC037448)". Lineage: Eukaryota; Viridiplantae; Streptophyta; Magnoliopsida; Arecales; Arecaceae. The record is from RNAcentral.